GAUGAAGAACGCAGCGAAAUGCGAUAAGUAAUGUGAAUUGCAGAAUUCAGUGAAUCAUCGAAUCUUUGAACGCACAUUGCGCCCGCCAGUAUUCUGGCGGGCAUGCCUGUUCGAGCGUCAUUACAACCCUCAGGCCCCCGGGCCUGGCGUUGGGGAUCGGCAGAAGCCCCCUGUGGGCACACGCCGUCCCUCAAAUCCAGUGGCGGUCCCGCCGCAGCUUCCAUUGCGUAGUAGCUAACACCUCGCAACUGGAGAGCGGCGCGGCCAUGCCGUAAAACACCCAACUUCUGAAUGUUGACCUCGAAUCAGGUAGGAAUACCCGCUGAACUUAAGCAUAUCAAUAAGCGGAGGA
This 352-nucleotide unclassified non-coding RNA is filed under the name soil metagenome. RNAcentral describes it as "partial contains 5.8S ribosomal RNA, internal transcribed spacer 2, and large subunit ribosomal RNA". The stretch from base 1 to 120 matches the Rfam family "5.8S ribosomal RNA", at positions 35 to 154 of the family's 154-position model. The record is from RNAcentral.